Molecule: ribosomal RNA, 253 nt
Filed under: uncultured bacterium
Lineage: Bacteria
Description: partial 16S ribosomal RNA
Rfam family: Bacterial small subunit ribosomal RNA
Source: RNAcentral
UACGUAGGCAGCAAGCGUUGUUCGGAAUUACUGGGCGUAAAGCGUGCGCAGGCGGUUUUGUAAGUCUGUCGUGAAAGCCCCGGGCUUAACCUGGGAAUUGCGAUGGAGACUGCAAGGCUUGAAUCUGGCAGAGGGGGGUAGAAUUCCACGUGUAGCAGUGAAAUGCGUAGAGAUGUGGAGGAACACCGAUGGCGAAGGCAGCCCCCUGGGUCAAGAUUGACGCUCAUGCACGAAAGCGUGGGGAGCAAACAGG